GUCUAUGGCCAGACCACCCAUGAACGCGCCCGAUCUCGUCUGAUCUCGAAAGCUAAGCAGGAGUCGGGCCUGGUCAGUACUUGGGAUGGGAGACCGCCUGGGAAUACCGGGUGCUGUAGAGC
RNAcentral lists this ribosomal RNA (122 nucleotides) under Pteropus vampyrus (large flying fox). The record is from RNAcentral. Lineage: Eukaryota; Metazoa; Chordata; Mammalia; Chiroptera; Pteropodidae.